AAGUAGUCUUGUCAUUUCCCCUCCCUCCACAUAUCCCCCUUAUCACUCGCCUCUGUCACUCAGCACAGAGGCCACGCAGACCUGAGCGGGAAGAAGGAAGGCUCUAGAUCUUCUGUAACUUUCCAGCAAGAACAUGCCCUGGGAAACUCUGCAUGAAAUGCUGUUUGCUCUUCUGCUCUAUCUUGCUUGCCUUCUACCUGAGGUCAUGAUGGACCAAAAGACUAAGGAAGUCUAUUGUCGUUUCAACACCACAGUACUGCUGAUGGGGACCAAUCUGAAUGCUUCUUCGAUCUUUAAUGUGGAGUGGCAUGCACAGCUAAAUGGGAGAGAAAAGGUCUCCAUCCUAACAUACUCACCCGGCUCCAACAACAUCUAUAUUAAUGAAAGUUACAGGAAGAGAGUUGUCUUUGCUCAUAUGAACUUUUCCUUGACGAUACAUUAUGUGACUUUCAGCGACGAAGGAGUCUAUACGCUGACCAUCCAGCUGCUUAACAAUCAGCAACAGAUUGGCAGGACAAAAGUCACAGUGAUCAUACCUGUAUCGAACGUGCACAUCACCAGUGAGACAUCUCUUCAUCAUCAGGGGAAAAACAUCACCUUGAAUUGCCUGGGAAUGGCAGGAAAUGCCGUGUCCUACUCCUGGCAGAAAUGCAACCAGCCUUUGCCAAUUGGAAACCGCACCAUCCUGUCUAAGGACAACGCAUCCCUGACCUUCAUUAACAUACAGCAAUCUGACAUUGGGAACUACAGAUGUGUGGCCCAGAAUGUUCUCAGCUCUGGGCAUAAAGACUUCAUCCUGCAGCUUUGUGCUGAGACUGGUGUCUCUCCCUGGUGGAGCUAUGGCAUUUACGGGUACCCUGGCUAUCUGGGCUACGCUAUUGUCCUCUUCUACAUCUUCAGCUGGGUGAAAAGGACCAGGAAAAGCAGCUCCAAAGGCCAGUCAGGUACCAGUGCCUCCAUCUUGCCCCUCAACUGCUGAGCUUCCCUCCCCUUUGCCUUCCACCAUC
RNAcentral lists this long non-coding RNA (1007 nucleotides) under Chrysemys picta bellii (western painted turtle). RNAcentral describes it as "lncRNA (ENSCPBG00000000204.1)". The record is from RNAcentral. Lineage: Eukaryota; Metazoa; Chordata; Testudines; Emydidae.